CACGUAGGCACCAAGCGUUGUCCGGAUUUAUUGGGCGUAAAGAGCUCGUAGGCGGUUCGGUAAGUCGGGUGUGAAAACUCUGGGCUCAACCCAGAGCCGCCACCCGAUACUGCUGUGACUCGAGUGCGGUAGGGGAGCGGGGAAUUCCUGGUGUAGCGGUGAAAUGCGCAGAUAUCAGGAAGAACACCCGUGGCGAAGGCGGCUCUCUGGUACGGAACUGACGCUGAGACGCGAAAGCGUGGGGAGCGAACAGG
This 254-nucleotide ribosomal RNA is filed under the name uncultured bacterium. RNAcentral's name for it is "partial 16S ribosomal RNA". It matches the Rfam family "Bacterial small subunit ribosomal RNA", at positions 524 to 776 of the family's 1533-position model. The record is from RNAcentral.